RNAcentral lists this ribosomal RNA (465 nucleotides) under uncultured bacterium. Its description in RNAcentral is "partial 16S ribosomal RNA". It matches the Rfam family "Bacterial small subunit ribosomal RNA", at positions 28 to 507 of the family's 1533-position model. The record is from RNAcentral.
GACGAACGCUGGCGGCGUGCUUAACACAUGCAAGUCGAACGGCAAGGCCCCCUUGUGUUGUACUCGAGUGGCGAACGUGUGAGUAACACGUGAGUAACCUACCCUUUACUUUUGUAUAACUUCAUGAAACUGGGGCUAAUACCGUAUAGGAGCUCCUGCUGCAUGGUGGGGGUUGGAAAGUUUCGGCGGUUGGGGCUGGACUCGCGGCUUAUCAGCUUGUUGGUGGGGUAGUGGCUCACCAAGGCUUUGACGGGUAGCCGGCCUGAGAGGGUGACCGGCCACAUUGGGACUGAGAGACGGACCAGACGCCUACGGGAGGCAGCAGGGGGGAAUAUUGCACAAUGGGCGGAAGUCUGAUGCAGAAACGCCGCGUGCGGGAUGACGGCCUUCGGGUUGUAAACAGCUGUCGCCUGUGACGAAGCGUGAGUGACGGUAAUGGGUAAAGAAGCACCGGCUAACUACGUG